This 243-nucleotide long non-coding RNA is filed under the name Homo sapiens (human). Its description in RNAcentral is "HSALNT0320693". Lineage: Eukaryota; Metazoa; Chordata; Mammalia; Primates; Hominidae. The record is from RNAcentral.
GCAGCUCAUGGGCAGGCUUCCUAAUGGAGUCCACAAAGCAUGCUGGAACUCAUCCACUAGGUUCCUGGAGUCCCAUCAAGGGAGAAGAAGUUUAACAGAGAUGAGGCAUCCUGGAAUAUCCAGGUGGCAACAUGGAGUAGAGAUGAUGACUACUUCUAGGCCAUGAAAAACCAGCAGGAUCCAUGAUGGCUGAGAAAUGACAAUAUUGGUGAAUUAAGUACAUCUCAGGGAGAAGCCCUAUUA